This 301-nucleotide ribosomal RNA is filed under the name uncultured bacterium. RNAcentral describes it as "partial 16S ribosomal RNA". It matches the Rfam family "Bacterial small subunit ribosomal RNA", at positions 509 to 809 of the family's 1533-position model. The record is from RNAcentral.
CAGUAGCCACGGUAAUACGGAGGAUCCGAGCGUUAUCCGGAAUUAUUGGGUUUAAAGGGUGCGUAGGCGGACAGAUAAGUCAGUGGUGAAAGACGGUGGCUCAACCAUCGCAGUGCCGUUGAUACUGUUUGUCUUGAAUAUGGAUGAGGUAGGCGGAAUGUGGCAAGUAGCGGUGAAAUGCAUAGAUAUGCCACAGAACACCGAUUGCGAAGGCAGCUUACCAAGGCAAUAUUGACGCUGAGGCACGAAAGCGUGGGGAUCGAACAGGAUUAGAUACCCCGGUAGUCCCUGUCUCUUAUAA